RNAcentral lists this non-coding RNA (24 nucleotides) under Arabidopsis thaliana (thale cress). The record is from RNAcentral. Lineage: Eukaryota; Viridiplantae; Streptophyta; Magnoliopsida; Brassicales; Brassicaceae.
UACAACAAAGAUCAUACUAGUUGU